GUCCUCGUAGUUCAAUUGGAUAGAACGGCUCCCUCCUAAGGAGCAGAUACAGGUUCAAUUCCUGUCGGGGACACCA
RNAcentral lists this transfer RNA (76 nucleotides) under Candidatus Peregrinibacteria bacterium CG_4_10_14_0_2_um_filter_41_8. RNAcentral describes it as "tRNA-Arg". It matches the Rfam family "tRNA". From Rfam's summary of the family: Transfer RNA (tRNA) molecules are approximately 80 nucleotides in length. Their secondary structure includes four short double-helical elements and three loops (D, anti-codon, and T loops). Further hydrogen bonds mediate the characteristic L-shaped molecular structure. tRNAs have two regions of fundamental functional importance: the anti-codon, which is responsible for specific mRNA codon recognition, and the 3' end, to which the tRNAs corresponding amino acid is attached (by aminoacyl-tRNA synthetases). tRNAs cope with the degeneracy of the genetic code in two manners: having more than one tRNA (with a specific anti-codon) for a particular amino acid; and 'wobble' base-pairing, i.e. permitting non-standard base-pairing at the 3rd anti-codon position. RNAcentral also lists the same sequence under 2 other names. The record is from RNAcentral. Lineage: Bacteria; Candidatus Peregrinibacteriota.